Long non-coding RNA from Lycium barbarum (goji berry), 4978 nucleotides. RefSeq lists it as uncharacterized. Lineage: Eukaryota; Viridiplantae; Streptophyta; Magnoliopsida; Solanales; Solanaceae. The record is from RefSeq and is a predicted model, not a curated record. The transcript has 7 exons.
UCUCGUAUUUUUAGUAGCUGACUAGCAUAGCCUGAGCAGGAGUAGGAUCCUUGCUACAUGUAUAUUUAUGGAGAAACUAAAAAUGUAUAUUGCUUAUUCUCAAAAAUAAAAAUGCACAUGUUACUACUUUUCAGUCUCUGAAGAAAGAAUAGCAACUUUUUUCUUUCUGAUCUGUAGAAUAGAAUAAUGAAAACUUUUGUGUCGAAAGCUUAUAGAUUCGACUUAGGAUAGUAUUUUGGGACAACCACUAAAGGAAGAUUGAUAUAUUUUUUUGGACAAACACCGUUUAUCCUUUUGCAUUUAAAUCCUUAGCCUAUAGGAUUUCGUGUUUGUCCCAAAAAAUAUCUCCUUAGUGAAGACCACGUAGGCUAAAGAUUUAAAAUCAAAGAAUCAAGGGUGAUCUUUUACUUAGAGCUGAGAGAGUUUCCUGCUUGUGACUGUUUAGAAUUCAUCACUAUCUUUACUUCCGGUACGGAAAAUAUUUAGUGUAAACAGCAAUAAUUAUUUACUUUAAGCCCACGUCACAUCAGCAGUUAAUCGACUUGAGGGCACCAAAUUAUAGCCUAAAGAAAAGUAAACAAAAAAGAUAGGUAAUGAUGUCUGCGCGAUGUAUAGCCUUUCUGCGUUUUUCUAUAUUAUGAUGUCUUCUGAAGGAAUUCCCUGAGUAAUGGCGUUUGAAAUUAACCAAGCUGCAGUUCAUUUUGCAAAGGCAGGAACGUAUGGAUUUUGAAUGUUAAUUUAUACGCCCUCUGUUUUCAUUUGUUUGUCUUACUAACCUUUUUAGUCCGUUUCAAAAAAAUACUUCUUCCCUUUUUUGGCAACUCUUUAAAUUCAACUUUUCACAUGGAAUGUUUAAGACCACAAGAUUAAAGGAAAUUUUGGUACAUUCUAUGUAUCUUUAAUUUAAGACCACAAGAUUCAAAAGUCUUGUUUACUUUCUUAAACUCCAUGCCAAGUCAAAACCAAACAAACAAAUUGAAACAGAGGGAAUAGCAGUCAUUAUGAACAAAUUCUUGCAUAACACAAUCUAACCACAAUGUGCUAAAGUACCGAAGUCGACGAUUAAUAUUAGCUUACUUAAAGAUUUUCUCACAAGUCCUAGUUAGUGGGUGAUGUGUUGUAAGAAAAUUGGUUUAGGAAAUGCAAAGUGCCACCUCCGCCUGAUAGAUUGAAAAACAAGUAAAGAAUAAGAGAGAGAGAGAGAGAAUCAAGUGCUCAUGCUCUCAACUCUGUUUAGUUUUUGCUUAACAAUAAUUCCCCAUGGCGUUUGGCAUAGUCAUGCGAAGACCCGGUCAUGGAGAUACAACUUUGUCAGUCAGCUGCUCUGAUAAGAUUGCCGUUGGAAUGUGUUCGGUGUACAAGGUUCCUUAUAUUUCUAGUUGGUAGAUAUGCUUUCAGUUAUAUAAUAUCCAAAAGCAAUUGAAGAAACCUUUAGAAUUAACUAAGGACUAACAUAUAUUAACAUAUAUGUUACCCUUUUCAAAAUAUAUAAAUAAUAUAGAAGCGUUCACAGCUCAUGUUCUUUAUCUUGUUUACUAUCUUUGUGUUUUUGUAUGCUGAUUAAAAUACGUUUCUGAAGUUCCACAAUGCAACUGAUCUAUGUGGUGAUAAGUAGUUUAUCUAGAUCUUUAGUUAAUUGAAUCUCGCAGCUAUAUGAAAUUAUUGUCUCUUUUACUAGAUUGUUAAUCUGCUUAUGUAAAUGUCCAUCUUUCGUGGAGUUUAUAUUUCUAUCAUGAGCAAAUAACAACAUACCCAGUGUAAUCUCACAUGUGGGGUCUGGGGAGGUAGAGUGUAUGCAGACCUUGCCCCUACCAUAGGGAGGUAGAGAGGCUGUUUUCGAUAGAUAUAUUCCUAUCAUGAAUUCCUAUUAAAUGUCAGCAUGUUAGUCAGAGAACAACAACAUACCUAAUGUAAUCCCACAAGUGGAGACUAGGGAGGGUAGAAUAUACGCAGACCUUACCCCUACUCUGUGGGGUACAGAGGUUGUUUCCGAUAGACCCUCGGCUCAAUAGAAAGUUUACGAAGCAGAGUUGCAAGAAACAAAUGACAGAAAAAUACAAAACAAAUGAAGUAAUAGACAGUAAUACACGUUAAAGAAUAAGAAACUACGCGAUUACUAAAUAAUACUAGUAAUAAGGAGAAGAGAAGAGGAGGUUAGCCCCCGCCUCUCCCACAUAUAGUGCGGCAACACUUAGCUACCUACAAACCUUCUAACCUAACUAACCCUCUACCCUAAUCCUCGACCUCCAUACCUUCCUAUCUAGGGUCAUGUCCUCAGCAUGUUAGUAAGCCAUUCACAAAAAUCACAUGGGUAGAUCUGACUAUUCAAUUUGCAAUGACAUGGUUGAUCUGUUGUCUAUUUCAUGAGAUUGUGAAGUUCUCCCUCUAUUUCAAUUAUGUGUCUUGCACUCCUUUUUAGUCUGUUUUAAAAAGAACGUCACUUUCUAUAUUUAGUAGUUCCUUAAUUCAAACAUCUCUCACGGCAUGUUUAAGAAGAGUACAAGAUUCCUGGGGAGAUUGUCUCAUGAAAUGGAGGAACCUGUGACUGCUCUGGUAGGUGUUGUAUUAUCAACUUUGUGAAGACUUCCUAUAUAGCGUGCUUUCAAUACGUGCUGUAAUGAAAAUUUUGGUUGUCAUUAUUUUUACUUGAAGCCUAUCAAUGUUGGUGGAGCUUUGCUUUUACUUAUUGCAGUGAUCUUUUAAUGUUUACCCUGUGUUGUUUCUACUUUCAGUCAGUCCCAUUCUUAUUGCAGGAGCUCUACUUUCUUUCAUAUUGGAGCCAAUUUAUAUUUUUUCUGUGACCAUUGGAAAUCCCAUAUAGCUUCUAAGUCCUCCAUUAUUGAAGAUGAAAUGAUGAGAGCUAUACGCGUGUGAAUCUUACCAUUAUCCAACAAGUUAAUGGAUUCAUUUCAAGUGAACAAGUCACUUGUCUUUGUUGCGCCAAUUCCACCCGAGAAGUUUCAACAUGCUGUAACUGCUCUGACCACUUUAACAUGUGGGUACUCUGUAUUCUGGAACAAGUCUGGGUUGCAUGAAGUCAUUUUUGGAAUCACUGGCAUGAAGCAGGGCACUUCUGCGAAAGGCGCAAUGUCUCCUUCCACUGAGUCUUCUCUAUGCAACAAGGUAAGUCGCAAGAAUAUAAUUUAGCUUCAGAAACCUUUAAAGGCAGUUCAAAUUUCAAGAGCUGGUUUCUGAAAUCUCAAGAUUUUGAGGCCUUUUCAUUCAUGGCUCCAUGAGGGACAAUGGUUGAUAUGUGAAUGGAAAUGGAUUUGACGGUUGAAGUGCUGAACAUGGGCCAUGGGUGGUAGGCUAUAUUGUUGCAGAGAUACUCGCCUUUUCUGGGCGAACUACAUUGAAUUGACAGGGGAAUUUCUCAAAUCAUGUGAUUUAUGUUUUUCCCCAGUUUAGAGCUCUGCCAGAUUUUUUUGAAGCGUUAACUUGCUAUCUUUAGUAUCUUUAGCAUGUUUUUUCCUUUUUUUUUUUUUUCCUUUAUUCUUUUCUCCAAAUUUCUUGCCUGUUAGUGAAGGGAUCAUCAGAAACAAUUUUUUAAUAGCUUUGUCUUGUACUUGGUCCUGUACCAUCUUGGUACCAGAUUUAUAAAACUUCUACUUAUCAAAAAAAAAAAAAAAAAGGUGAAGGGAUCAUCAGAAUAAAUGAAAAAUACCUGAGCCUUAAUGCAUUAUGCAUGUGAAGGGGGCUGUUACUCUUACAUGCUGUAUGACUUCUUUGCACACUCCUUUGUUAAAGUCACUCCUGCUUUAUUUCCUUCUUGGGGCUCAGUCACAUGUUACUCUCCAGCUUAAUGCUAAUUACUUUGCUUAUUCUCGCUAAAAAGACGCACAAAACAAAUACUAUAACUGAAGCUAAUAUUCUUCUUGGAGGAUGACCUGACAUUAUAGUGAUUAUAGUGUGUUGCAAUGCAGAACGUUGCACAAUAGCAUUCACAAGAUAUUCAUGGGCAUUUAGGAAAUGUAGAUGAUUAAAAGAACUUUAUUAGAGCUAGGUGAUAUUUCAAAACCAUCCCUUUUGCCUCUUAACACUUUUAAGUGUAGUUUCUUGGGUUCGUGAAGUGAUUUGUUUGAGCUUUGCAUCUCAAUGAAUGGUUGAGUCUAUAAUAUCAGCUGAUUAAAAUGAUGUCAUGGCUUUGACUCUAUAAUUUGCUGCCGUGUACUCCGGAUAAAUCUAAGUUGUUCCAUGUUCCUGGUGUUAGAAUAAGGCAGGUGCAUGAGGGCAGUGCUUCCAAUGUUAAAGGACUGCGCAAUCAAGACACCUUGUGUUUUCCCUUGUGAUAAUAAGGUUCAAGGAGUUUUGAACUGAAUUGAGAUCACAUGAAGUGGAAUUGAGCAAAAAAAUAGUUGAAAAUGUGGAGGUUGCCAGUGACCUCGCUUCUGCGCACGGAGGAGCGCUUCUGCACAUAUGACCAUGUCUCACAAGGGUCGCUUCUGCAUCCAUUUUUCCGCUUCAGCGGUCCCGCACCUGCGACCAGAUUUCCGCAGAUGCGAUCAAUGGGUUUCAGUGAUGGGCAGAUUUGGCAUUUCACAUGUUCUUGAUCCCAAACCCACAUAAACUCAACCUGGCUCACUUGGAAACACAUCUUUGGCAGAAAACACAAGUUUUGGGAGUUAGGGUUCCUACACCACACUUUGGGAUUGAGCACUUCUUGAACCUUCACUUCAUUUAUUUAAUUUCUAGCUUUGUAAUGAACGUCCACCCCUACUCACACGCCUUUAAGGAGGUAUUAACACACACGUAGGAAUCUAGUAACUCAGUUGGUUGACUACCUGUACUCUCACUUUGUUGGUGAGGUUCGAAUUUUCACAUUGUAAUCCUUUUCCCCAUCUCUCCUUCCCCUAUUUCCUAUGUAAAAAAAAAAAAGGUAUUAACACACUUUAUCAUUGUCAAACCGGGGGGUUUUAGCACGUGAAAGUUAUAGUUCAGGGGUAAAGUAAACAAAACAUAGUUUAAGAAUGAAAUGAAU